AACCACCACCAUCACCACCACUACACCACCCCAUUCAUCCAUCUUCAACCUUCAUUCAAGUAUCUAAGUUGAUCCAUGGAGGUUGCAUCUUGAAGGGCUUUCAAAGGAGCUUUGUUUCUUGCUUAUCCUUCAUCUUUUUCUCAUCAUCUUCAUCACUAGAUCCUACCCUAGCCUUGUGCUAGUAGUAACUAAGAUGGAUGUGCGCGCGGUCUUACCCAUGCUCGUGGAUCGAUGUAAACGCUAA
This 244-nucleotide long non-coding RNA is filed under the name Helianthus annuus (common sunflower). Its description in RNAcentral is "sRNA HanXRQr2_Chr03g0101451". Lineage: Eukaryota; Viridiplantae; Streptophyta; Magnoliopsida; Asterales; Asteraceae. The record is from RNAcentral.